AGUUUUAAUAGUUUAAGUAUAAAACAAUGAUUUUGUAAUUCAUAGUUAGGUAAUUACCUUUAAAACUU
Molecule: transfer RNA, 68 nt
Filed under: Dichelops melacanthus
Lineage: Eukaryota; Metazoa; Arthropoda; Insecta; Hemiptera; Pentatomidae
Description: tRNA-Thr
Rfam family: tRNA
About the family: Transfer RNA (tRNA) molecules are approximately 80 nucleotides in length. Their secondary structure includes four short double-helical elements and three loops (D, anti-codon, and T loops). Further hydrogen bonds mediate the characteristic L-shaped molecular structure. tRNAs have two regions of fundamental functional importance: the anti-codon, which is responsible for specific mRNA codon recognition, and the 3' end, to which the tRNAs corresponding amino acid is attached (by aminoacyl-tRNA synthetases). tRNAs cope with the degeneracy of the genetic code in two manners: having more than one tRNA (with a specific anti-codon) for a particular amino acid; and 'wobble' base-pairing, i.e. permitting non-standard base-pairing at the 3rd anti-codon position.
Source: RNAcentral